UCGAGAAUUUUUCACAAUGGGGGAAACCCUGAUGGAGCGACGCCGCGUGGGGGAUGAAGGGCUUCGGUUCGUAAACCCCUGUCAUUGGCGAACAAGUGUUGCAUUCUAAUACAGUGUAACUUGAUAGUAGCCGAAGAGGAAGGGACGGCUAACUCUGUGCCAGCAGCCGCGGUAAUACAGAGGUCCCGAGCGUUGUUCGGAUUCACUGGGCGUAAAGGGUGCGUAGGUGGUUGGUUAAGUUUGAGGUGAAAGCUCCGAGCUCAACUCGGAAAAUGCCUUGAAGACUAUCUGACUAGAGGAUUGGAGGGGAGAUUGGAAUUCUCGGUGUAGCAGUGAAAUGCGUAGAUAUCGAGAGGAACACCAGUGGCGAAGGCGAAUCUCUGGACAAUUCCUGACACUGAGGCACGAAAGCCAAGGGAGCAAACGGG
This 428-nucleotide ribosomal RNA is filed under the name uncultured bacterium. Its description in RNAcentral is "bacterial SSU rRNA". It matches the Rfam family "Bacterial small subunit ribosomal RNA", at positions 355 to 776 of the family's 1533-position model. The record is from RNAcentral.